RNAcentral lists this transfer RNA (71 nucleotides) under Glaesserella parasuis. RNAcentral's name for it is "tRNA-Und (NNN) (tRNA-Und-NNN-1-1)". It matches the Rfam family "tRNA". From Rfam's summary of the family: Transfer RNA (tRNA) molecules are approximately 80 nucleotides in length. RNAcentral also lists the same sequence under 8 other names. The record is from RNAcentral. Lineage: Bacteria; Pseudomonadati; Pseudomonadota; Gammaproteobacteria; Pasteurellales; Pasteurellaceae.
ACGCCUUUUAUUCGAUAUGUAUUGCCCUUCUAAGGCGUGGGUCAAAGGUUCGAAUCCUUUAGGGCGUGCCA